GGGAGAGUAUGUGUCCUGGUGGAUGCCGUGGCCUUCAAAGCCAUUGUGGGGUCGAAAGGCUCCUGGUGGGUUCAAUUCCCUCACUCUCCC
Molecule: transfer RNA, 90 nt
Filed under: Thermodesulfobium narugense DSM 14796
Lineage: Bacteria; Pseudomonadati; Thermodesulfobiota; Thermodesulfobiia; Thermodesulfobiales; Thermodesulfobiaceae
Description: Selenocysteine transfer RNA
Rfam family: Selenocysteine transfer RNA
Source: Rfam by way of RNAcentral